This 253-nucleotide ribosomal RNA is filed under the name uncultured bacterium. RNAcentral's name for it is "partial 16S ribosomal RNA". It matches the Rfam family "Bacterial small subunit ribosomal RNA", at positions 524 to 776 of the family's 1533-position model. The record is from RNAcentral.
UACGUAGGGGGCAAGCGUUGUCCGGAUUCAUUGGGCGUAAAGAGCGUGUAGGCGGCCAGAUAGGUCGGUUGUGAAAACUGGAGGCUCAACCUCCAGACGUCGAUGGAAACCGUCUGGCUAGAGUCCGGAAGAGGAGAGUGGAAUUCCUGGUGUAGCGGUGAAAUGCGCAGAUAUCAGGAAGAACACCCGUGGCGAAAGCGGCUCUCUGGGACGGUACUGACGCUGAGACGCGAAAGCGUGGGGAGCGAACAGG